This 460-nucleotide ribosomal RNA is filed under the name uncultured bacterium. RNAcentral describes it as "partial 16S ribosomal RNA". It matches the Rfam family "Bacterial small subunit ribosomal RNA", at positions 338 to 795 of the family's 1533-position model. The record is from RNAcentral.
CCUACGGGAGGCAGCAGUGAGGAAUAUUGGUCAAUGGGCGCGAGCCUGAACCAGCCAAGUAGCGUGAAGGAUGACUGCCCUACGGGUUGUAAACUUCUUUUAUAAAGGAAUAAAGUGAGGCACGUGUGCCUUUUUGUAUGUACUUUAUGAAUAAGGAUCGGCAAACUCCGCGCCAGCAGCCGCGGUAAGACGGAGGAUUCGAGCGUUAUCCGGAUGUAUUGGGUUUAAAGGGAGCGUAGAUGGGUUGUUAAGUCAGUUGUGAAAGUUUGCGGCUCAACCGUAAAAUUGCAAUUGAUACUGGCAGUCGUGAGUAUAGUAGAGGUGGGUAGAAUUCGAGGUGUAGCGGGGAAAUGCGUAGAGAUCAGGAGGAAGACCGGUGGCGAAGGCGGCUUACUGAACGGCCACUGACGUUGAGGUGCGAAAGUGUGGGUAGCAAACAGGAUUAGAUACCCCAGUAGUC